This 4984-nucleotide long non-coding RNA is filed under the name Taeniopygia guttata (zebra finch). RNAcentral's name for it is "lncRNA (ENSTGUG00000029171.1)". The record is from RNAcentral. Lineage: Eukaryota; Metazoa; Chordata; Aves; Passeriformes; Estrildidae.
UUUUUUUUUUUUUUUUCUGUAAGAGAAAUCACAGCUGCUUUGGCAGCUGCAGGUGUGAGGAGCUAAGGAUGUUUCCUCUUUGCUUUUUAUUUCCUCUGGCUGUAGUGGGGGACAUCAAAUAGACACCAAACACUCUGGAAAUGUUUCUCCCCUGUGUCAUUCCCACUGUGGGCUGGUAUUACUAAGAAACAAGAGACAAAAAGCUGAUAUUGGCCGUGGGUGAAGAACAAAGGUUCAGGGUUCCCACAAAAGCAGGAUUUUUUCCUGAGCCCUACAAUCAUUUAUUAGCUGUAACCUUCAGGGAAGGUGCUUCAUCAUGCCAAAUACUUGCCUCUCCCUUCAUUUCUCUUAGGGUAACAUUGCAAAUUUCUCUCUUCAUUAGCAAACAGGAAAAAAAAUUGCCAGCUUUCACCAUACCCGUUAUGUCUUGUUAGCACUUUCCAGGUGUUUUUCCUUCAUGCUGUCUCCACCAUUGCAUUUCCCAUCCUCUCAUUAAUAUCUACAGAGGUCUGGUCCAAGGCAGGUCAGUGCCUGGUAGCAAUAUUUUAUGUUCAUGGUGCUCAGAAUAAAACCUGUCCUCCAAUCCCUUGUCACUCUGUGACACCUCAAGCACAAGUUUUCCAAUUAAACUGGUACUACAUCUCUCCUGUAUUCCUCUGCUGGCAUUGCUGUGGUUUGUGUCUUGCUGGGCUUUAUCCUCAGCUGUUACUUCAUUGACUUUUUUCCCAGCAGAGAGUUUUGUUUGUCAAGAAGAGUAAAUGAAGUAAUCAUUUGGUAGACUUAGCAUUUAAAUACUGCGUGACAUUUAUAUGUGUGUGUAUAUAUAAAAAAUGGUUUUUAUGGCAGAGUGCCGCGGGGCAUUUGCAUGAAGCACAUCUCAAUGUAUAUUUGACUGUUGAUUUAAAUACACGGUAUGUAAUAAGUUAUUUUUAGUGUGUAUUGACUUCUUUCUAUAUUGGAACAAUAUACCAUCCCUGGCAGGGUUUUGUUGUCUCUGUUGUGGGCACAGUUGGACACUGGAGACGCUGAGGUGUGACCUUGUCCUAUUUCCUCCUUAUUUUCCAUGAGGUGGGAGUUGCUCCCCUCAGGAGCUUUGUGGGUGGACAGAGGUUGCUCCUGGGUUUUUUUUUUUUUUUUUGCCACAGGACAGUGUUGUGAGCCUCCUACUGCAUCUCCCUCCUGGUGCUUAGUGGAACAUUUCAUAUUCUCCUUUCCCUGCUGUCAUCUCCUCAGCACAGAGAGCUGCUUGGUGUUUGGAGUGAUUCAGCCCCGUGGCUGAGGGAGCACCAGGAGCAAUGGAGAUCUCAGCUCCCCUUUCCCAGCCUGAGAUCACAGAACCACAGAAUGCUUUGGGCUGGAAGGGACCUUAAAGACCAUCUCAUUCCAUCCCCCUGCCAUGUGCAACCUCCCACUAGACCAGGUUCCUCAGAGCCCCAUCCAACCUGGCCUUGAACACUUCCACAACCACUCUGGACAAGCACAAAAUUUAUCUAUGAAUUGUUUACUUUAAGAAAUAACAAUACAAGCAAAUUAAUAAAAAUGCCACAUCCUUAACUUCUGUUGUUGCAAAGGCAAGUCUUCUAGAGCUUGCAUUUAUUGAUGAAUUAUUUUUAUGGUAAAUAAAUCUAUAAAGGGAGAACUUUUCCUACUGUGAAAAUUAUAAAAAACAAAUUUAUAUGUCCUUUUCACUUUUGUAAAGUUCAAAGAUUUGCACUGAAAAUUGUACCUUGAAUCUAGUUACUGAAUGGUUGGUAUUGACUAGUGAGGGGCCACUGUGAGCAUUGUUUCACUUGCUGGGUAUGUGAUUGAAAGAGAUAUCUGCAGUGCAAAACUGUGAUAAAAAAUGAAAAGUACAAGGAAAAGAUGUUUAGAUAUUCAACUGGAAAUCUGGUAUGGGUUUAUUCUUAGCUUUUCAUGUAUUUGACAAUGAAACAUUUUUUAUUUUACUUAAGUGCUAACGUGCAUGAUCAUACAAUAUAUUGCCUCUUGCUAAUUAUAUGCUGCGUUAGGAAUACUAAUGUCUAGAUGAUAUCUGACUGGAAAAAAAAAUCAGCAUUAAACCCAGCUUCUGCAGAAUUCUGGGCUGAAACUACCCCUGCACACACACAGCUGUCCACACCUUAGAAACAGUCUUAUUUUGUUAUGGAGAAUGCUGCUGUUACAGGUUUAUCAAUAAAAUAGAAGCAGAUGGCUCAUGUAGACAUGCAAACCCAGCCUAUCUUCCUUUUUGUUCUGGCUGUGGCAGAACGGAGUGAAUAUUCAUCCAGGAGAGAUGUUCUUUGUUCAGAGCAGGGCUGCAGGUGCCUGGUGCAUAAUGCAGGACUGGGAGGAAUGGGAAAGAAUAAAAUUGGGUAUUUAUUGAAGGCCUUCACUAGGGACACCUUGGGCAGUCAAAGCCUCUGAGGGGCUACACCCAAGAUGGAAAUAAGUCACAAGAUUUUCAUACAGUUACAAGUUCGGUCUAUUUACAUAUCAGGGGUUAAUUCUCCAUUUACAGUUUCAGGUAAUGAAGUGAUUUACUCCAAGUUUGCCCCCCAAUUCACUGUUAUUUGCAUCUCUCAGGUCUGAGACAAUGAGGUGUCCUUGAGUUUCAGGCCUAGAGAGGAAUUGUUUGUCUGAACAAAAGGGGAGAACAGCAGCUGACAGGCUAUGGAGUUUUAGAGUUACACACUAAAGCAGUACAGGACCUGAAAAAUAGAAAAGCUAAAUCCUAAAGCAUCACCCUCAUGUCUCUGCUUCCCUCUGCACAGAGCCAUCCAGCCAACUCUGUGUGGGGAAGGAAAAGUGCUGGCUGUGCCUUUGACAUCUGUCCUUCCCUGCUGUCUCAUCCAGCCCUGGCAGGAGGUGGGAGAGAAGCCCCCCAGCCCCCUCUGUGGUGGGACCCUGGCUUCAGCAGUUCUCCUGCACACCAGUGAUGUGGUGGCACACGGAGCCAGUGCCACCAGUGUCCCUGCUGUCUGCAGACACCAGCCUGGGAUGCCCCCAUCAAAGUUGGGGUGGCCACUUGGUGGAAACAAAGGUAAGAGCUCUAAUGAUGAGGUGGAGAGGUGAAAUUAGGCCAACAAAGGGUGUGUCUGUGUCUGGUGGCUGCUUUUGUUUGCAUCCACCUUUGGUCAUGACGUAUUUGUGAGUGGUUUACUUCUGGCAGGUUGCAGUUGUAAUUGCUGCCCACAUUAAGAUGGAGAACGAUAGAAGCUAAAAAAAUUCCCAGAUUGGAAUUUUGACUUUGAACUGGGGUUAGUUUGCUCCUCUCAGAAUAGCAGUGCCAGAUUUGAGGGAGACAUGAGAAACCACAAUUUCUGCAGCCCUGCUGGCACCCACAGGGUUGGCUUUCCAGGACCAGCCCUGAAAUAGAGUUUCUUUUUCUGGCAGUGGUGGCUUCAGUGCUUGGAAACCUCAGAAAAGGCAGUUGAUACAAGACAUGUCUGAGGACACAGCAAACCCAGCCCAGGGGGCCAUCUUAAAGACAGUGGAGAAAUGGGAUAUGCUGGGAGGUUCAGAGAAAAACGAGGGAGUUUGGAAAAACUCCCCCACCUUGGUGUAAACUAGGGGUGAAAUACAUGUUUUGCUAAGGGCUGAUGUUUGUGGGUGACCUGCCUCAGCUGGCAGGGCUGCAGGGUGGGCUGGGGUUUGCUCUGGGUGGCAGCAGUCCCCCAGCAGCUCCUCCAGGCACAGAAGGGGGUCUGCAGAGCCAGGCACUGCCUGCUCAGGGAUUUGGGAGCUCAGGUGGGUGCCAGGGCAGCAUUUUCCUGGCUCGGUUACCCUAACACUGUUUCACCCCGUGCAAUUUCUGAAAACCAGUUCAAAUUCUCCUUGCCCAACCAAGCAGCCUCAGCUCCCCCACCAAGUCACCCUUCUCCUCCCCAGCCCCCGGUGCCGAGGGAUGCCGGUGAUGGCUCUGGGGGACUUGGGCACUGCUGGGAGCAUCACACUUGCUCUGCUGUUCCUACAGCAUCAUCCUGGCCUUGUGGGAGUGUCCUCAGCCUCAGGUGGGUUUUCCCAGGUUGAUUCAGGGCUAACCAGCCCAAGGUUUGUUCCAUUCCUGCAGGCAGGCUUGCCUGUGACCCCGUGUGAGCUCAGCACACUCCACCAUGGAGCUGCUGCCCUGAACUCGGGCAGAGGCCACGGGGCCAUCGGUCUUGGUGCCAGCACUUGGUCAGCUUGGCCCAGAUGAGUCUGCCCAUGGAUUUGGUAGUAAAAACUCAGGUUUGUGCUCAUGCAAAUGCAAGGGUUUAGCACUCCACUUGCUGCUCCUGCUGGGACACCACUGCUCAGCACGAGCACGUGUGGGCCCCGCCGGGCUCCUGGCUGGGUUAUGUUUUAUCGUUCUGAUUAUCCUGUCCUUCCUCCAGCUGCAUUUUAAUUCUUUAGAAUGACUUCAUCCCUUGGCAAAGCACCAAGUGCUGCUUUGUCAAGGCAUCUUUUUUUUUUUUUUCAUCCUAAUUUUGACCACUUGGAAAAGUCACAUUUUUAAUGUCAGGAAACUAAGUUUUGAAUUUCAGUGAAAGAGUGAUAUCAUUUUUCACGAGAGGGUGAAAGCAUUCCCACUUCUCAAUCAGCUCAGUGGAGGCUAAAGCUGAGCUGUCUGCCAUCUGUCUCCUCGCCAGUCUCUCUUCCACCACCAUCACUUUUUAACAGGUUGGCCAAUUUCAAUCACAUUUGAGAGCAGGGUAGCUGUCUCAAAGACAGUUAUGCUUCUACAGAUUUUGUCAGCUGGCAGAGGAUCAUUUCCAGAGAAGCAGAAAGGAGUGGGUUUGAUGGCCAAGGGUUGGUGAGCUGGUCCAUUGUGACAGCUCCAGCAUGUGCUGCCUCUGGUCAAGCUGGGGGUGUCCAAGGGGACAUGGUGGAAUUUGGCUGGGGAUGUGGGGAGAGCGUAGGGAGUAAAGAGCACAGAUAUGUAAGAAAAUGAACUUCAUUUUUUCUUCUCUUCCCCAGCUUGUUUCAGAAGGUUUUAAAGAGUUUUUCUCAAAUGUAAAAAAAAAAA